Molecule: ribosomal RNA, 1012 nt
Filed under: uncultured archaeon
Lineage: Archaea
Description: bacterial SSU rRNA
Rfam family: Archaeal small subunit ribosomal RNA
Source: RNAcentral
AAGCCUGCCAGUCGAGAGGGUUCGGCCCUCGGCAGACUGCUCAGUAACACGUGGAUAACCUAACCUUAGGUGGAGGAUAAUCUCGGGAAACUGAGAAUAAUACUCCAUAGAUCUAGGCUGCUGGAAUGCAUCUAGAUCAAAAGCUCCGGCGCCUAAGGAUGGGUCUGCGGACUAUCAGGUUGUAGUCAGGGUAAAGACCUGACUAGCCUACGACGGAUAUGGGUUGUGAGAGCAAUAGCCCAGAGACGAUAUCUGAGACACGAUAUCGGGCCCUACGGGGCGCAGCAGGCGCGAAAUCUUCACAAUGUGCGAAAGCACGAUGAGGGAAUCCCAAGUGCUAGCACGUAAGUGUUAGCUGUUUCUUAGUCUAAAAAACUCAGAGAGUAAGGGCUGGGUAAGACGGGUGCCAGCCGCCGGGUAAUACCUGCAGCUCAAGUGGUGGCCGCUAUUAUCUGGGCCUAAAACGUCCGUAGCCUGUUUAGUAAAUGCUUGGGUAAAUUGUGUAGCUUAACUAUACGAAUCCGGGUAGACUGUAAACUUGGGACCGGGAGAGGCUAGAGGUCUCUAGGGUAGAGGUGAAAUUUGUAACCGUAGGGGGACCACCAGUGGCAGAAGGCGCUAGCGUAGAACUGGGACUGACGGGUGAGGGACGGAAGCCCUGGGGCGCUGAACCGGAAUUAGAUACCCGGGUAGUCCAGGGUGUAAACGCUGCUUGCUUGAUGUUUAGUUGGGCGUCCGAGCCCAACGUAGUGUCGGAGAGAAGUUGUUAAGCAAGCUGCCUGGGAAGUACGGUCGCAAGACUGAAACUUAAAGGAAUUGGCGGGGGAGCACAGCAACGGGUGGAGCGUGCGGUUUAAUUGGAUUAACGCCGGAAAUCUACCGGAGGCGACGGUUAUGAAGGCCAGGUUGAUGACCUUCCUGAUUUCCGAGAAGUGGUGCAUGGCGCGUCAGUUCGUACCGUGAGGCGUUCUGUUAAGUCAACAACGAACGAGACCCUCAUCUUUAGUUGCUC